RNAcentral lists this ribosomal RNA (292 nucleotides) under uncultured bacterium. RNAcentral's name for it is "partial 16S ribosomal RNA". It matches the Rfam family "Bacterial small subunit ribosomal RNA", at positions 505 to 796 of the family's 1533-position model. The record is from RNAcentral.
GUGUCAGCAGCCGCGGUAAUACGGGGGGGGCAAGCGUUGUUCGGAAUUACUGGGCGUAAAGGGCGCGUAGGCGGUUCGCUAAGUUGGAUGUGAAAACUCUGGGCUCAACCCAGAGCCUGCAUCCAAAACUGGCGGGCUAGAGUUCUGGAGGGGGUAGCGGAAUUCCUGGUGUAGCGGUGAAAUGCGUAGAUAUCAGGAGGAACACCGGUGGCGAAGGCGGCUACCUGGACAGAAACUGACGCUGAGGCGCGAAAGCUAGGGGAGCAAACAGGAUUAGAUACCCUGGUAGUCC